GUGCUUGCUUUGGCAGCACGAUUAUAAAGAUUAGCAUGGCCUUGUGCAAGGAUGACACACAAAUUCAUGAAGCGUUCCAUAUUAAA
RNAcentral lists this small nuclear RNA (86 nucleotides) under Equus asinus (donkey). The record is from RNAcentral. Lineage: Eukaryota; Metazoa; Chordata; Mammalia; Perissodactyla; Equidae.